AUUGAACGCUGGCGGCAUGCCUAACACAUGCAAGUCGAACGGUAACAGGUCUAGCUUGCUAGAUGCUGACGAGUGGCGGACGGGUGAGUAACGCGUAGGAAUCUGCCCUCUAGUUCAGGACAACCCGGGGAAACUCGGGCUAAUACUGGAUACCCUCUAAGGAGGAAAGUGUGGGACCUUAGGGCCACAUGCUGGAGGAUGAGCCUGCGUUGGAUUAGCUUGUUGGUGGGGUAAAGGCCUACCAAGGCGACGAUCCAUAGCUGUUCUGAGAGGAAGAUCAGCCACACUGGGACUGAGACACGGCCCAG
This 308-nucleotide ribosomal RNA is filed under the name uncultured bacterium. RNAcentral's name for it is "bacterial SSU rRNA". It matches the Rfam family "Bacterial small subunit ribosomal RNA", at positions 30 to 334 of the family's 1533-position model. The record is from RNAcentral.